Molecule: small nuclear RNA, 107 nt
Filed under: Aotus nancymaae (Ma's night monkey)
Lineage: Eukaryota; Metazoa; Chordata; Mammalia; Primates; Aotidae
Source: RNAcentral
GUGCUCACUUAGGCAGCACAUAUACUAAAAUUGGAACGAUACAGAGAAGAUUAGCAUGGGCCCUGCACAAGGAUGACACACAAAUUCGUGAAGCGUUCCAUAUUUUU